Molecule: long non-coding RNA, 786 nt
Organism: Passer domesticus (house sparrow)
Lineage: Eukaryota; Metazoa; Chordata; Aves; Passeriformes; Passeridae
Exons: 3
Source: RefSeq, a predicted model, not a curated record
AAGGGUUGGGUUUUCUUCUUGCUUGAAAUUGAGAUAGUAUAUUGUAAAUGGACAGAAAGACCCUGAAACCAUAACAUUUCUCUUUGUUCAAGCAUUAGGGCCAGCUUUACUUUAGGCCAAGCUCUAAGUGGCACCAGCUGGGCACAGUCUGGGUGUGCAGAGGUGACAAAUGGCUGGGAAAUGGCAAAGCCACUCUGGCAUGAGCUGGGGGGGAAGAGCUGCAGGGAUUGGUGACCCCCUGUGGCACCAGCUCCAGGCUUCCCUUGGCAAUCUGGCAAAAUCAACAUAUACUGUUUUACUUAGUGAGAGUGGAGUGUUUACAAUAUUGCAACAUCUAUGGAUAAUCCAUUCUAUUCAUUUCAUGUUGAUGCCUUAGGAUUGUAGCUUGUUUAUUUUCCAUGUAUUUGUAACCUGCAAUUGUUCAGUGUACAGCUCCAAACCCCACACACAGUGUGAGCUGCUGCUUUCCCACUUUGGGCAGACACAGCAAUUCCUCUCCAGGCUGGGAAUCAAGGACACCUCACUGCCUCAGGGCCCAGAGAUGGAAACAAAAGAAUGAAGUUCUGUGCAUUUGUGAAGCUCUUCAGAAAUUCCCUUUAGGAAUGGCUUGGUGACUUAGCUUGCUUGUAGUAUUGCAGGUGUCUACAGGAAGAUAAAAUCAUCCCCAUAAUCACAGAAGCUGGGCCUCCACUGGUGGUUUAAAGGAACUGUUCUGUGAGUGACACGUGCAGUUUUGACCAGACAUCCUGCAAUCAGUGACUGCUAUUAAAUACACCUCUGUGAUGC